GGAACGCAUCGGCGGCAGAACACUCAAGCGGCUGGUUGUUGAGAGCACGCCAGCUGAAGAGCACCCCUGCACACUGGCAGGCCAUCCACAGGUGUCAGAAACUCAGCUCAGCUGGAAGAAACUUGAUGUACCAGGUAUCAGAGUAGCAAGUAAAGCCACAAGCCAAAAAUGAAAGAGAAUCUUUUAAGUGCUUAUCGUGAUGGUGUAAGUAAUUGUCCAAAAGAAACGCCGAUUCCUUCUGUUCCAUUUUUACCUGUGGAUUGUGGAUUGAAAUAACCA
Molecule: long non-coding RNA, 279 nt
Filed under: Homo sapiens (human)
Lineage: Eukaryota; Metazoa; Chordata; Mammalia; Primates; Hominidae
Description: non-protein coding lnc-PLA2G4A-7:1
Source: RNAcentral